This is a non-coding RNA of Brachypodium distachyon (stiff brome), 123 nucleotides long. The record is from RefSeq and is marked provisional. NCBI's taxonomy places the organism in Eukaryota, Viridiplantae, Streptophyta, Magnoliopsida, Poales, Poaceae.
AUGUAGUGCUCACAUUCUUCAUUUGAACAACCUCGGUCUCAUCGUAUAAUUUCUAUAACGUCAACAAGAUAGUAUUAUAUGAUGAGACAGAGGUUGUUCGGAUGAAGAAUGCGAGCACUACAU